Molecule: long non-coding RNA, 831 nt
Organism: Mizuhopecten yessoensis (Yesso scallop)
Lineage: Eukaryota; Metazoa; Mollusca; Bivalvia; Pectinida; Pectinidae
Exons: 3
Source: RefSeq, a predicted model, not a curated record
AGUGGUGCCUGUGACCAACCCUUGUUUCAAGCAUUUGGUGUAUGCUUGACAAGGGGAUACCCGAACCUGGGUUAAAGAUAGUUGUAUCUUCGGGGCGAAGAUUUAAAAAAGGGAGGGAGCUCGAGGAAUGUAGCGGAACUGGACUGGGUCGAUCGUCGGCGACCAGGUAGCUCAAUUGGUAGAGCAUCCGUCCAGAGUUUGGAAGGUCCCGGGAACCCCGGUCUGGCCGUGCGUUUUCCCUCUACUGUUACAGAAUAAUACCAAUACAUGUAUUACUCAUUUGUAACGUGUUCCCAGACACUGUUCCCGGACGGACAAUUCUCGAGCAAUUUUCUAGUUUACAGGCAGGAUUUGAGCUCACCCAAUAACUGCAGACUUUACAGACAGGUUUUUAGCUCACCCAUUGACUACAGACUUUAUAGACAGGUUUAGACCUCACCCAUUCACUACAGACUUUAUACACAGGUUUCGACCUCACCCAUUCACUACAGACUUUAUAGACAGGUUUCGACCUCACCCAUUCACUACAGACUUUAUAAUCAGGUUUCGACCUCAUCCAUUCACUACAGACUUUAUACACAGGUUUCGACCUAACCCAUUCCCUACAGACUUUAUACACAGGUUUCGACCUAACCCAUUCCCUACAGACUUUAUACACAGGUUUCGACCUAACCCAUUCACUACAGACUUUAUAGACAGGUUUCGACCUCACCAAUUCACUACAGACUUUAUAGACAGGUUUCGACCUCAUCCAUUCACUACAGACUUUACAGACAGGUUUCGACCUCACCUAUUCACAACAGACUUUAUAGACAGGUUUCGACCUCACCC